AUUCUGCUGGUUUCUGCUGAGCCCAGUUGAACUCUUCUCAUGUUCCUCCAGCAGCCACAACUAAAGUACUGUAUCAGGACUGCCUUGGAACAUGAAACCAACUUACCGCUGUACUUUCCAUCUUGGAUGCUGAAGUUCUAGGGUAGGGUUGUCAGUAAAAUGCAGGACACCCAGUUAAAUUUAAAUUUCAAAUAAAUAAGAAAUAAUUUUUAGCCAUUAUUAUGGAGUUGUAGACCUGGUGUGGGGAGUAUGGGGAUCAACCUCAGAAGCCUCCAGAGAGAGAUUGGUGGACUCUAGGAGUGUCGAUCUCAGACUGACCAUCGCUGGGGCCACAUCCAAGCAGCAGCCCUUUGUCCAGAGCCAUUUCCUCCACUGGCCUCAGUUUCUGUAGGGCCCAGAUGGUGCUGAAGUCAGAUGCCAAGGGGAAAGUGACUUUACCCACGAGAGAGAUUUUUAAAUAUUCCCCCAACUGCUCCGAUGGGACCGUCUAGUUACAGGAAAACAAGCUCAAGGCUCCCACUGAUUCUACAUUACGUGGUCAUGACUUUUGGCAAGAAAGUUGGAGAUGUGACCAGCUGCACAUGACUUUACCUAAAAGCUUGCUAUGUAAAGGACACUUUCUGGAGAGUGGGUGUAGGAAUUCACUGUCUCACUGCUGCCCAAGACAGCACUACUGUUUGUAAGCCCCUAUUAAAUAUUUCUUUCUGAGAAAGUGGAUUUGUCAGCCUCUGUUUUUGGCCUUCAGCUCCCUUGGCCUUUGUGGGUAGGUUUGUAUAUACCUGCUCACUGCAGAAAAAUAUUCUACUCCAGUUUGUGAUAUAUUUGGGUUUACAGAUAGUCUGGUUACUGGAGUUUGAACCCAGUUCUGACUCCAAUGCUCAUGAUCUUUCACUCUACCACAUAGUCUUCCAGAAACAAAUCAUAUGUGGUCUCUGCCCUUGAUAGAUUCUCCAUCUAGCAUGAGAGAUGGGUAUAUAAACAAAUGAUUGCUGCAGAAAAUUUAAUAGAAAACUAAGGAAGGUGAUGCUAACUCUACCUGGGCAUGUCAGGGAAAGUAUCACAUAGGAGGGAGUAUUCGUAGUGAGUGUUUCCACCAGGAAAGACAAGCAGAGGGACUUUCCUAUGUACAGUAACAUGCUUCACUCAUAGUUUUAAAAAUUAACGUUCUCACCCUUUUUUCCCAGCCAUCGUUGGUGUCACCAAUCUCCCAUGCUCUCCUAAAAAAUUUUCCUUUUCCCGUUUUUGCACUUCUCCUAUAUAAUUAAUUUACAUGUCUUCUGUUUUCUCUAUACUUACAGCUCCUUGACCAAAAGACCAUGAUUUAUUUAUCUUUGUGCACCUAGCACAGUGCCUUACAAAGACUAGGCAUUAAUAAACACUCAUUGGGCACCUGAAGAUAGGUACAGAUUUCUAGGUAAAGAAACUAGGAUGUGCACAGGCCUUGUGGGCGAUGGAGCAUAGCAUGUUCAAAGGCCUGAAAGACAAGAUCAGAAUGACUAGCUAUUAGGCAGUAGUGGUGGUGGUGGUAAUAGAGGCAGAGUGUUCAGGAAGGUGAUGUUGUAGGGUAGAGUAAUCUGAGAUAAAACUGGGACUGGUUGGAGUUAGACCAUUAGGAUCUUAGAGAACAUGUUAAAGAUUUUGGUCUUCAUCCUAAGAGCAGUAGGAGGCCACGGAACAAAGGGUCAAUGGGUAACACACUGAAAAGUUCACCUGAGCUCCAUUGAGGGGUAAGGGCUGGGGACAAAUACAACAAGGGAAAAUAUAGAAGGCUACUACAGUCAUCCAAAUAUUGGAUGUGGCUUUUAGUGAAGUUUGGAAGAAGUGCCCCUUUUUUAGGAAUACCAUACAGAAAAGUCACAUAUUUGAACAUAACUACUUGCCUAAUCCUUUUAGGAUUUUCUUUUC
RNAcentral lists this long non-coding RNA (1905 nucleotides) under Homo sapiens (human). Its description in RNAcentral is "HSALNT0337365". The record is from RNAcentral. Lineage: Eukaryota; Metazoa; Chordata; Mammalia; Primates; Hominidae.